This 97-nucleotide transfer RNA is filed under the name Marmota monax (woodchuck). RNAcentral's name for it is "tRNA.Leu". The record is from RNAcentral. Lineage: Eukaryota; Metazoa; Chordata; Mammalia; Rodentia; Sciuridae.
GGUGCUGUAGCUCAGGGGUAGAGUGCUUGUCUUAGCUCAGGGAUAGAGUGUUUGCCUCCCAUGCAGGAGGCACUGGGUUCGAUCCUCAGCACCACAU